GUGGGGAAUCUUGCGCAAUGGGCGAAAGCCUGACGCAGCCAUGCCGCGUGAAUGAUGAAGGUCUUAGGAUUGUAAAAUUCUUUCACCGGGGACGAUAAUGACGCUACCCGGAGAAGAAGCUCCGGCUAACUUCGUGCCAGCAGCCGCGGUAAUACGAAGGGGGCUAGCGUUGCUCGGAAUUACUGGGCGUAAAGGGCGCGUAGGCGGACAGCUUAGUCAGAGGUGAAAGCCCAGGGCUCAACCUUGGAAUUGCCUUUGAUACUGGCUGUCUUGAGUUUGGGAGAGGUGAGUGGAACUCCGAGUGUAGAGGUGAAAUUCGUAGAUAUUCGGAAGAACACCAGUGGCGAAGGCGACUCACUGGCCCAAUACUGACGCUGAGGCGCGAAAGCGUGGGGAGCAAACAGGAUUAGAUACCCUUGUAGUCC
This 425-nucleotide ribosomal RNA is filed under the name uncultured bacterium. RNAcentral's name for it is "partial 16S ribosomal RNA". It matches the Rfam family "Bacterial small subunit ribosomal RNA", at positions 354 to 796 of the family's 1533-position model. The record is from RNAcentral.